UAUGAGAUACCUGUUUCUUUGUCCACAUCUCCUUUUGAGAUAUCAAUGGAAUCAGUAAUUCCUCUGAAUCC
RNAcentral lists this long non-coding RNA (71 nucleotides) under Jaculus jaculus (lesser Egyptian jerboa). RNAcentral describes it as "FTX transcript, XIST regulator conserved region 1 (ENSJJAG00000005721.1)". It matches the Rfam family "FTX transcript, XIST regulator conserved region 1". The record is from RNAcentral. Lineage: Eukaryota; Metazoa; Chordata; Mammalia; Rodentia; Dipodidae.